This 252-nucleotide ribosomal RNA is filed under the name uncultured bacterium. Its description in RNAcentral is "partial 16S ribosomal RNA". It matches the Rfam family "Bacterial small subunit ribosomal RNA", at positions 524 to 776 of the family's 1533-position model. The record is from RNAcentral.
UACGUAGGGGGCUAGCGUUAUCCGGAAUUACUGGGCGUAAAGGGUGCGUAGGUGGUUUCUUAAGUCAGAGGUGAAAGGCUACGGCUCAGCCGUAGUAAGCCUUUGAAACUGGGGAACUUGAGUGCAGGAGAGGAGAGUGGAAUUCCUAGUGUAGCGGUGAAAUGCGUAGAUAUUAGGAGGAACACCAGUUGCGAAGGCGGCUCUCUGGACUGUAACUGACACUGAGGCACGAAAGCGUGGGGAGCAAAUAGG